This is an RNA transcript of Hevea brasiliensis (rubber tree), 1332 nucleotides long. RefSeq lists it as uncharacterized. NCBI's taxonomy places the organism in Eukaryota, Viridiplantae, Streptophyta, Magnoliopsida, Malpighiales, Euphorbiaceae. The transcript is spliced from 4 exons. The record is from RefSeq and is a predicted model, not a curated record.
UUUUUUUUAAAUAAUGAAAGGGCCCAACCGGGUUCGAACCGGUGACCUCUUGAUCUGCAGUCAAAUGCUCUACCACUGAGCUAUGGACCCAAUUGAUGCGUGAAAGUGAUGCUACCAUUUUAAUAAAGAGAACGCCCAACAAUUCGUCUACUCCCCUCCGCCUCUCAUAUGCAGCAAAGAACAAUGAUGGUAAAGACUCGGCACGGCAUCAAAUACGCCGCAAAGGAUCCCUAACUCUCCAUAAUAUUGUCCGAUACACUGAGCUCUCUCAGAUGCGUGUGAAGAACUGUUUAGUGACCUUAAUCCAGCACAGUUGCGUUCAAGCUUUGCGCCUCGAUGAAACUGGUAGUUCCCAGAGUGUGCCAAAACAAAUUACUCGGUACAUGGCAUUGUUUGAUAAUUUAUAUUGUGUGUAGGCAUUGUUGAGGGUUUGCUUCAACAUGGUAGGCUUACACAGAAGCAAAUUGUUGAGAGAGCCAACUCAAGUCAUAAGGAAGGAAAUAGUAUAGGUUUGGAUGCUGUACAAGAAAACCUUCGCAAACUUGUGAUGGCCCAUUAUGUUGAACACUGCCUCACUCCUGAACCCGGUCUUGCAUCACCAACUGAAGAAGAUGCUCCUGCAAGGAAGCGAGGUGCUGCUAAGGUUAUUGCUUAUUUGCAUAAAAUUUAUUAGCAUGUUCUUGUCAUAUCGAACAAUAGUAACAGUUGACUUAUGCAUGAGCAACUAUUGAUUUAUCAUUGAACUAUCAUUUGGGUCUAAAGGAAUAUUUAUCUUCCAUAAAUGGAUGAUUAGAUUCCUUGAUUUAAAUAUAUUCCUUGACUUGCCUGUUAUCAAUGGAUUUAUGCCAUCUACAUAUUAUAGAGGUAAUUCUCAUUUUUUAAAUAGUUUUCUUCCUACUACUACAACUUUUUCUAGCAGCAGCAGUGCCAGUGGAAGCAAAAAGAUUUUCUACUGAACUAAAUGAUGAUGGAGAAAAAAAACAGGAUAAAUCCCCUGACAAACAUGUCGGAGACAAGGUUGUAUAUGAUUUUUUUUUUUUAAUUUUAAUUAUGAGGUUCAAUUGUACUAAUCUUUCGUUCUCAAUUUUGUAGCGCAAGCUUGCUGUUUCGGAGCCUCAAGUAGAUUGCAAUGCUGCAGAAGAUCAAGUAGUUCUUUGCCGUGCUAAGUUUGAGGAAUUUAUUCGUCGGCUUAGGCAUAAGUUUGGUUUGACUUAUAAUUUUCAUUUCAUUCUAAUUGUAUAUUCAAACGAAGGAGAACAUGAUGUAUUUCCAAUAAAUUUUGCAUUGGCAAUGUUUGAAAAGCUAAAUAUAAAUUUUAAAUUGUUUUCUUCU